UUAUAAGGAAAUUUAACUUUUUAGAUUCGUUUAAUUAAUGAUGUAUAUGGUUUAUAUUGUGGACCACAUACAUCAUUAAUUAAAUGAACCUAAAAAGUUAAAUUUGCUUAUAA
Medicago truncatula (barrel medic) is the source of this 113-nucleotide microRNA precursor. It matches the Rfam family "MIR2593 microRNA precursor family". The record is from Rfam. NCBI's taxonomy places the organism in Eukaryota, Viridiplantae, Streptophyta, Magnoliopsida, Fabales, Fabaceae.